This 239-nucleotide long non-coding RNA is filed under the name Gallus gallus (chicken). RNAcentral's name for it is "long non-coding RNA NONGGAT007944". The record is from RNAcentral. Lineage: Eukaryota; Metazoa; Chordata; Aves; Galliformes; Phasianidae.
GCCGCACACAAGCCAGGAGCACUUGUCCUCCCUCGUGGCCAUUUCCGCUCUGUUCACAGACUUCCCAAAGGACAGACCCUGUACCCACACACCCUGAGGAUGUGUGCCUGCAGGUGCUGCUGGACUCAUGAGUGCAAACACUAUGAUCAGAGAGUGCAACAAAGAACAAGGGCGAACAAUACGCUGUAAGUCAGAAGUUAAGUGAGCGCUGCACGGCAGUCUCCAGCAUGAGAUCCCAG